AGGGAAACUAUUCAGUGUCUCCUACUUGCUCCAAACAACAUUUCUCAUAAAAGUUUGUAGAAAAUCAAAAGGGGAGCGUCUUCCACAAGGAGGAGGGGCAGGGUUCUCUCUUGAGUGUGAAGCUGGCUUUGGUGUUGCCUCGCUGCAACUGCCGUUUGCCAGCGAUGAUUGUUUUUCUCUUCCUUUGGGAGAGUAAGAGGGAGAGGGCAUAGUCUAAGAAGU
This is a small nucleolar RNA of Vicugna pacos (alpaca), 222 nucleotides long. RefSeq annotates it as small nucleolar RNA U3. Lineage: Eukaryota; Metazoa; Chordata; Mammalia; Artiodactyla; Camelidae. The record is from RefSeq and is a predicted model, not a curated record.